Small nucleolar RNA from Gossypium arboreum, 107 nucleotides. It matches the Rfam family "Plant small nucleolar RNA R71". Rfam says of the family: R71 is a member of the C/D box family of snoRNAs containing the C (UGAUGA) and D (CUGA) box motifs. Multiple nearly identical copies of this snoRNA have been identified in Arabidopsis, and it is thought to function as a 2'-O-ribose methylation guide for 18S ribosomal RNA. The record is from Rfam. Lineage: Eukaryota; Viridiplantae; Streptophyta; Magnoliopsida; Malvales; Malvaceae.
AGCCCAUGGUGAGGGCACCGUCUCAAUAAGUCCUUAUACUUUUUCCAUGCAUCAUAUAAAGUCUCUAAAUUGAUCUGCACAAAGGAGGAGAUAUCAUUCCUUAACUU